AGAGACGAAGAAUGUUGGAGGCUCGAAGGACUUACCUGAUUUGAAGAACACGCACGAAGCUACGAGAAAUCCGGAUGCGAAAUAAACGCAGGAAAAUGGAGAAGCUCUUCAGUUGAAGACUAUGAUGAUGUCGAAGCGUGACUGAAGAUUGAAGAUUAUUGAUGCUUGUUAAUGUUGUGCUUGAAUGGAAGAAGGCCUCGAAGAUGAAGAAGGUAUGAGAUGCUGAGAGGUUGCAGAAUUAUUGACAUGGUAGCUGAGAAAGAUUAAAGAUGGUAUCGCAAAGAUCAGAGAGUGAGAGAGUUGAAGAUGACUGAUGAAGAGGAUUCAUGGAGUAUGAGGCAGAGUGGUGAAGAAUUCAGAAAAAUGGUGAAGUGAAGAUGGUGAUGGAAAUGGUGAUGAGUGAAGAUUGCAAAAAGGUGGAGGAGCUGAAAGAAUGGAUCAAGGCUCUGAUUUAUAGAGAUUCUCAAGGCUGUAUGUUUGGAUUUGUUAGGAACUCCAUUUGGUUGCUUGAAGGUGUAUGGCCCUGGUUCGAAAAGUUGCAGCAGGGAUAGGAGUCCUUGCAUUCAGUGAUGUGGUGAUUUUCUUUCAUGAGGUUAUGUUGGUGUUGAAUGUGCAGGUUAUUUUUUUCGGUGCUGUUGGCGGUAUUUUGCGGUUUUGGCAUGGCUACAUGAUACAAAUGGUGGGGAUCAAUGAUGAAGAGAAAUUGAAGAUUAAUAUAGGGAAUAGAUUUAGGGCAAUUUUUUUGUAUUUAAAAGGUGUGAUAUGCAAAUGAAUGUAGUUUUGGUGAAAAUGAUGUUUUUUUG
This is a long non-coding RNA of Vicia villosa (hairy vetch), 803 nucleotides long. RefSeq lists it as uncharacterized. NCBI's taxonomy places the organism in Eukaryota, Viridiplantae, Streptophyta, Magnoliopsida, Fabales, Fabaceae. The record is from RefSeq and is a predicted model, not a curated record. The transcript has 4 exons.